Molecule: ribosomal RNA, 442 nt
Filed under: uncultured bacterium
Lineage: Bacteria
Description: partial 16S ribosomal RNA
Rfam family: Bacterial small subunit ribosomal RNA
Source: RNAcentral
CCUACGGGAGGCAGCAGUGGGGAAUAUUGGGCAAUGGGCGCAAGCCUGACCCAGCAACGCCGCGUGAAGGAAGAAGGCUUUCGGGUUGUAAACUUCUUUUGACAGGGAAGAGCAGAAGACGGUACCUGACGAAUAAGCCACGGCUAACUACGUGCCAGCAGCCGCGGUAAUACGUAGGUGGCAAGCGUUGUCCGGAUUUACUGGGUGUAAAGGGCGUGUAGCCGGGUUGACAAGUCAGAUGUGAAAUCCUGCGGCUUAACCGCAGAACUGCAUUUGAAACUGUUGGUCUUGAGUACUGGAGAGGCAGAUGGAAUUCCUAGUGUAGCGGUGAAAUGCGUAGAUAUUAGGAGGAACACCAGUGGCGAAGGCGGUCUGCUGGACAGCAACUGACGGUGAGGCGCGAAAGCGUGGGGAGCAAACAGGAUUAGAUACCCCUGUAGUC